RNAcentral lists this ribosomal RNA (470 nucleotides) under uncultured Methanomicrobiales archaeon. Its description in RNAcentral is "bacterial SSU rRNA". It matches the Rfam family "Archaeal small subunit ribosomal RNA", at positions 871 to 1337 of the family's 1478-position model. Lineage: Archaea; Methanobacteriati; Methanobacteriota; Methanomicrobia; Methanomicrobiales. The record is from RNAcentral.
CGGGGAGCACCACAACAGGUGGAGCCUGCGGUUUAAUCGGACUCAACGCCGGGAAACUCACCAGAUAAGACAGCUGAAUGAUAGUCGGGCUGAAGACUCUACUUGACUAGCUGAGAGGAGGUGCAUGGCCGUCGUCAGUUCGUACUGUGAAGCAUCCUGUUAAGUCAGGCAACGAGCGAGACCCACGCCAACAGUUGCCAGCUCGUCCUCCGGGAUGGUGGGGACACUGUUGGGACCGCCUCUGCUAAAGAGGAGGAAGGAAUGGGCAACGGUAGGUCAGCAUGCCCCGAAUUAUCUGGGCUACACGCGGGCUACAAUGGGUGGGACAAUGGGUAUCGACACCGAAAGGUGAAGGCAAUCUCCUAAACCCAUCCGUAGUUCGGAUUGUGGGCUGCAACCCGCCUGCAUGAAGAUGGAGUUGCUAGUAACCGCAGGUCAGCUAUACUGCGGUGAAUACGUUCCCGGGCCUU